This 437-nucleotide ribosomal RNA is filed under the name uncultured Acidobacteriota bacterium. Its description in RNAcentral is "bacterial SSU rRNA". It matches the Rfam family "Bacterial small subunit ribosomal RNA", at positions 207 to 662 of the family's 1533-position model. Lineage: Bacteria; Pseudomonadati; Acidobacteriota. The record is from RNAcentral.
GAGCAAUCCGCCUUAUGAGCAGCCUGCGGCAGAUUAGCUAGUUGGUAAGGUAAUGGCUUACCAAGGCUACGAUCUGUAACCGACCUGAGAGGGUGGUCGGUCACACUGACACUGAAUAACGGGUCAGACUCCUACGGGAGGCAGCAGUCGGGAAUUUUGGGCAAUGGGCGAAAGCCUGACCCAGCAACGCCGCGUGAAGGAUGAAGUAUUUCGGUAUGUAAACUUCGUAAGAAUAGGAAGAAUAAAUGACGGUACUAUUUGUAAGGUCCGGCUAACUACGUGCCAGCAGCCGCGGUAAUACGUAGGGACCAAGCGUUGUUCGGAUUUACUGGGCGUAAAGGGCGCGUAGGCGGCGUGGUAAGUCAGCUGUGAAAUCUCCGAGCUAAACUCGGAACGGUCAGCUGAUACUGCUGUGCUAGAGUACAGAAAGGGCAAUC